UACGUAGGGUGCAAACGUUGUUCGGAAUCACUGGGCAUAAAGAGCGCGUAGGCGGUUUGAUAAGUCCUUUGUGAAAGCCCCCGGCUUAACCGGGGAAUUGCAUUGGAUACUGUCGAACUAGAGUACAGGAGGGGAGAGCGGAAUUCCUGGUGGAGCGGUGAAAUGCGUAGAUAUCAGGAGGAACGCCGGCGGCGAAAGCGGCUCUCUGGUCUGUCACUGACGCUGAGGCGCGAAAGCUAGGGGAGCAAACGGG
Molecule: ribosomal RNA, 253 nt
Filed under: uncultured bacterium
Lineage: Bacteria
Description: partial 16S ribosomal RNA
Rfam family: Bacterial small subunit ribosomal RNA
Source: RNAcentral